AGGUCCGCCUGCCGGUGACAAAGUUUACGGCCUCGGUACCCUGACCGCGCAAAGGUAGCAUAAUCACUUGUUCUUUAAAUAGGGACUUGUAUCAACGGCAUCACGAGGGCUAAACUGUCUCCCCCCCCUAAUUAGUGAAUCUGAUCUCUUCGUGAAAAAGCGAAGAUUAUUAUAUAAGACGAGAAGACCCCGUGGAGCUUAAAACCUAAUAACACCUUCUUCACUGUAACCUUAAAAAAUAAGAUCUUUGUUAGAAGUUUUCGGCUGGGGUGUCCAAGGAGUACAACAAAACCUCCAUGACGAACAUUCCUCUACCCAAGAGCCACUGCUCUAAGAAUCAGCAAUCUGACGUAACAUGACCCGAUUAUUCGAUCAACGAACCAAGUUACCCCGGGGAUAACAGCGCAAUCCACUUCAAGAGCCCUUAUCGACAAGUGGGUUUACGACCUCGAUGUUGGAUCAGGGUAUCCCUGUGGUGCAGCAGCUACUAAAGGUUCGUUUGUUCAACGAUUAAAACCCUACGUGAUCUGAGUUCAGACCGGA
RNAcentral lists this ribosomal RNA (543 nucleotides) under Phrynobatrachus alleni (Allen's river frog). RNAcentral's name for it is "partial 16S ribosomal RNA". It matches the Rfam family "Bacterial large subunit ribosomal RNA", at positions 1901 to 2620 of the family's 2925-position model. The record is from RNAcentral. Lineage: Eukaryota; Metazoa; Chordata; Amphibia; Anura; Phrynobatrachidae.